Molecule: long non-coding RNA, 1280 nt
Filed under: Sorghum bicolor (sorghum)
Lineage: Eukaryota; Viridiplantae; Streptophyta; Magnoliopsida; Poales; Poaceae
Description: long non-coding RNA (SBIC_LNC014720)
Source: RNAcentral
UGAAAUGUAAAACUUUCUCUGUCUUAAAAUAUAAUGCAUUGAAGUACUUCAAAAUUAUCUUAAAUUAUAUGGAACUGCUAGCGCCCGGACGUCUUAUCCGGGCGCUAGCGUCCGAACGCUAAGCGAGCACUGAAUCAUGCCGAAAACCGCCCUUGCCUUCCCACAUCGAACCGUGACCCCACCCACCCCGCACGGAGAAGAAAGUCCGCCCCGCAUGAAGAAGAAAAUAGAAAUUGGAACGGCCCUUCCUCCGCUUCCCGUGCAUGAAACUCACCCGCCUCCACCCAUGCGCACGGGAUCUGCCCGCCUCCAACCUCGCACGCCCCAACACCUCCGCCCGGUGCUAGCUUGCCCCUACAAACUAUCCCCAAGCUUGCCUCACCCUCUUGCCACUGCAACAGUAGGACGAAGCAGUUGAAACACCAUAAACAUGUUAUUGCAAUAACACCGAAGAAACUGCUACAAUAAUAGAUUGAAGCAGUUGAAACACCAUAAACAUGUGUGUUGCAACAAACAAAAAAGGGAUAAUAGCAACGAUGUUAGGAUGAAGAUGUUGAAACACCUUGAACAUAUUAUUACAACAACAAAGAAAAACAGCUGAAACAUCAUGCUAAAACACCAUGAACAUAUUAACAUGUUGCAAUCUGCAAGCAGUACUACUGCAACAUCAACUAAAACUCUUCUGCAACAUCCAGAGGAAACCAUUGCAACACGACGAGAUCUGAGCCCUAAGAGCUUGCCGAAACCCUAGCCACAGCCACAUCCCUUAGAUCCAGAGGGGAGAGGAGGGAGACGAGUAGUAGAAGGAGAAGAGUCAGAUCUAGAGAAGAAUGAGGGGGGAGCUCAGAUCUAGAUCUAGAUAAGAAAGAGAAGGCCUCAGAUCUCCUUCACAACCUACCUCGUUGGAGCCGCCGCCGUCAUCCUCAUCUCUGGUGGUGUGCAUGGAGCUGGGUUGCAGGGACAAUGGGGAUCUGUGGAGGGUGCGGUGGCGCGAGGUAAGUAGGGGAGAAGGGAGCGGGGGCAGCGUAGGGGCACGCUAUGAGCCUGCAGACGCGUGAGCAUGGUGGUCUCUCGGCGACGGCAUGACCAGCGAGAAGGAGAGCGACGCGGAGAAGAAAGCAAGUGCAGGGAGCGACGCGAGAAGAGCGAGUGAGGGGGGUGCUCAGAGAAGAAAGCAGAGUGGGGGAUAACAUAGACGGGAACAGGCGGAGAAAGUAAAGCAUCGUGUGCAUGCGUGCUUGGUCGAGUCGCUGGUCCGCAUCGCGUGCUCGGUUGAGUUG